CUUAAAAGGAAUGGGCUUGUGCUAAAGGAAAUACUCUUUGAGCUGCUGAACACUUUAGUGUUCAGCCCCUUAACCUAAGGAGGAGCUACACAAAUGAAGAACUGUGGAACUGACCUCAGAUGCUCUCUCGUUGGAAAUUGGCACGCAAACCACAACCACGAUGGCGGCUUCUGAGAGGUGGAGGAGAGGGGUGUGGCAAAGCAGCAAGGAAGGGGGUCUGGGGUCCAGCCCAGCUGGGACAGUGAAGGUUCCCUGUUCAAGGGGACUCUGUUCCUUGGACAAUGAUUGCUUCCUUUAUGCUCUGGAGUCCAGCAGAGACUGACACACAGUUGGGGCUAAACACGUCUGAGGGUGAUGAAACUCCCAUUUCUGACGCCGUCAACUUGUUUUCUGUAAUGUUAGCCCUGCCAUAUUCCAGCUCGACAGAGCUUGGGCAGCCCGAGGUGGUGACUGUAUUUGGCCAUCAGCCAUGUCCCUUGCAGGGCCAGUCUCUGAGGUGCCAUGAGACCUUCUGUGCCUGGCAAGCCGGGGCACUUCGGAGAAUGGCAGCUGCCUGGUUUCUCAGGGGAGCAACUACAUUCCUAAGUCGCUUGGGGAUCGCUUGACUUCCCUCAUUCAUUCACCCAUCCUUCCAUCCAUCUAUUCCUUCAUCCAGCAAAUUGGACCCCUUCCGUGUGCCAGACACUGUUCUGAGCAGAAGCACCUGCCCUUGAGGAAGUGACACUCCAGUGGGGAGAGACAAGUAAGCUCACAAAGAUCUAUCUGCAAAAUCAAAUUCCAGGUAGUGAUCAGUGCCACGAACAAAAAUAAAAAUGAAUAAAGAGAUGUAAAAUGAUUUCCUUCCCCAAGGGCAGAGGAUUCUUUCUAGCAGGUUAUUUGGAAAAGUUCCCUCUGAAGAGGUGACAUUUGAUCAUUGUUAAAGUCACAUGCAUCAUUGUGAACAUUUCACAAAACACAGAAGAACCUAAUGCUUUCGCACAAACCAUCAUCUAGAAAUCACACCAUCUCAACAUCUUGUCGUUUAAAAAUUGAUAUAUAAUAAUGGUACAUAUUUCUGGGGUCCCUGUGAUAUUUUGAUACAUGCAGACAAUGUGUAAUGAUCAAAUCAGGGUAAUUAGGCUAUCCAUCACUUCAAACAUGUAUCAUUUCUUUGCCAAUGCCUUGUCUUUUGUCGUCUUAAAGUACAGAUUUGCAUCAUGCUUUUUAAAAUUUAACAUUACACUAUAAUUAUUUUGUAGCUGUGUUUAUGUUUUUCUGUUUUCAAGUAUCAAUAUAUAGUAUGGAUUUUUAAAAAAUUGGUACUGUAAAUGUACAUGAAGUUUUUCUGUCUUUACAAAAGAAGUGCAUAUUGUUGUAUGAAUUCUAGAAAAUCAAGAUAAGGAAGAAAAUUAAAAUCCUUCAUAAUCCUACUCAUUGAGCAUACUGGUCUAUGUCUUUCCCAUUUUUUCCUUCCUUAUAAACAUGGAAAGACAUCAUACCUAGAGCAUGUUCAGUUUGUGUCUGGCUUUUUCAUAAUCAUACUUUAAAACUGGAAAGCUGGUGUGUGCAAGUGGCAGGGGGAGCUUACCUCACAGGACACAGCAGCAGAACCCAUGGGCUUUGGCCCACUCUGCC
This 1614-nucleotide long non-coding RNA is filed under the name Homo sapiens (human). RNAcentral's name for it is "HSALNT0245665". The record is from RNAcentral. Lineage: Eukaryota; Metazoa; Chordata; Mammalia; Primates; Hominidae.